GGAGAGGUGGCUGAGUGGCCGAAAGCAACAGUUUGCUAAACUGUCGUAGGGGAAACCUUACCGCGGGUUCGAAUCCCGCCCUCUCCGCCA
RNAcentral lists this transfer RNA (90 nucleotides) under Lentisphaerota bacterium. RNAcentral's name for it is "Lentisphaerae bacterium (feces metagenome) tRNA-Ser". It matches the Rfam family "tRNA". From Rfam's summary of the family: Transfer RNA (tRNA) molecules are approximately 80 nucleotides in length. Their secondary structure includes four short double-helical elements and three loops (D, anti-codon, and T loops). RNAcentral also lists the same sequence under 1 other name. The record is from RNAcentral. Lineage: Bacteria; Pseudomonadati; Lentisphaerota.